Molecule: long non-coding RNA, 663 nt
Filed under: Struthio camelus australis
Lineage: Eukaryota; Metazoa; Chordata; Aves; Struthioniformes; Struthionidae
Description: lncRNA (ENSSCUG00000001074.1)
Source: RNAcentral
AUUAAGAGUAUGAAACCAUAUGGGUUACACUUCUCAUUUUCCUUUUUAUCUAGCAAAUAUGCUAUACGUGUAGCAUGUAUACUGUCAAAACUACAGACGGAAAAACUGCAGGCACAUGGAAUAUCGACCUACUUUUAGAAAUGUAAUGACAAACAGUUAUUUGUUUUUUGCAGGAAUAUGUCACUGAUGAUCUUCAAAUCAAACUUAAAGCAUUCCUCUCUGGUCUGAUAAGCCAAUAUAUUGGGAUGUUCUUCAUCUUCUCUGUCAAAUGGAUUUUCACCUUUGGUCAUCAAUCUUCUGUGAUGAGCCUCAUCCCGUGGAAAAGGAAGCUAAAGACAUUUGUAUAUACCAGGUCCACACUUGGUUUAGUGCUCUCAAGCUGUUUUCUUGGAAGGAAGUCCAAGGCUGCUUUUCAGUCUGUCCAGUAUCGCAGGAUGUAAGCCUGUACUCCCUCCCGCAGCAGCUGACUCGCUGGCUUUCUGCUGAUGCUCGCAUGAAGUCAAACUUCCAUGGCUGCUGGUGACCCGGACUGAGUAGUUGUUAUCCUUUGCUGUUCAUCAGCAUGUUCUCUAGUCAAUCAGUAUAAGUGAUUUUUUUCCUUAACCCAGUUGAGUGGAAUGAAUGUGGGGUGAAAGAGCAUUCAGGGAAAUAUUUAGAUGGCAG